RNAcentral lists this unclassified non-coding RNA (1252 nucleotides) under Gamocarpha scapigera. Its description in RNAcentral is "Nastanthus scapigerus partial contains external transcribed spacer (ETS) and 18S ribosomal RNA". The record is from RNAcentral. Lineage: Eukaryota; Viridiplantae; Streptophyta; Magnoliopsida; Asterales; Calyceraceae.
CUCAAUUUGGAUUUGGUCCAUUUGGGGCGGUACUAAGAGCCCCUUUUAAGUGUUUCCUUGAAGCAGGCCCAGGAGGGUCCUUUCAAGAUUGGUGCACACACGGUGCCUGCUGGCCUCGGAAUUCGCCUAAUUUGAAGCCGUAAGACGUGGGUGCUGACCUUGUCAUGCUCCCGAAGUGGUUGCCUUGAAGCAAGGCCCAGGUGGGUUCCUUUUCAGGGAAAAUGGGACACCGAUUUCCAAUCUGGAUUCUUCUACUUGUAGGCGGGAAUCGGGACCCUUGAAAAGCGGUUGCCUUGAAGCAGGGCCAGGCGGGUCCCUUUCAGGGUUGGUGCAACAACGAUGCUGCUGGCGUCGGAAUCGCCUACUUGUAGGCGUAUGACGUGGGUGCUGACAUUGUCAUGCUCGCGAGUGGUUGCCUUGAAGCAGGGCCAGGCGGGCUCCUUUCAGGGACAACUGCGACAACGACGCCAUGUCGGAAUCGUCUACUUGUAGGCGUGAAUCGGGACCCUUGUACAGCGGUUGCCUUGAAGCAGGGCCAGGCGGGCUCCUUUCAUGGUUGCUGCAACAACGAUGCUGCUGGCGUCGGAAUCGCCUACUUGUAGGCGUAUGACGUGGGUUCUGACAUAGUCAUGCUCGCGAGUGGUUGCCUUGAAGCAGGGCCAGGCGGGCUCCUUUCAGGGACAACUGCGACAACGACUCUAAGUCGGAAUCGUCCCUUAGAAAUGUUUGUCCCUUCUAAUUUCGUACCCAUCGGUGCUUUCUUGGUUCUUCUUUUGCUUCUAGUGGCUCGUUUGGCGCUUGCGUCAGGUUGGUUGCUAGUGGCUGGGUUGAUCCUUGGGAUUGAUGACCGGAACGGUGCGUGAGUGGUGAUUGGAAUGCUACGGGUGGUUGGUCGUCUGCUUGUGCAGCAACGUCCACCGGUACAUACCUCUUCAAUUGAGUUCAAGGCAGAUUUUGCCUUGAGCACUGCGUGGGAUCUCUGUGUUGCAUACCUAUAUGAAGGAAUCGUAUCGCCGUAACAGUGUCCUUGUUCAUUGCGCGCCGCUCUUGUGGCGCGGGUUGAACCUUGAAGUAUUCUCUGUGAUCCAUGCUACUGGUGCAUAAGUGUUGGUUUCAUGGCCCAUGGAGCGUUGCUUGGUCUCUCGGAUAUGGAACCUUAUGUGGGUAUGGGGUUGUUAUGGCCUUGUUUUUGCCCCAAAUAAGCGUUCUCGCUUCUCUAAAAACGACGCCGGUCGCGUGUUCACAUGUUGGU